This 119-nucleotide ribosomal RNA is filed under the name Larimichthys crocea (large yellow croaker). Lineage: Eukaryota; Metazoa; Chordata; Actinopteri; Sciaenidae. The record is from RNAcentral.
GGCUACGGCCAUACCACCUUGAAUGCGCCCCAUCUCGUCUGAUCUCGGAAGCUAAGCAGGGUCAGGCCUGGUUAGUACUUGGAUGGGAGACCGCCUGGGAAUACCAGGUGCUGUAAGCU